CCCUUCAUUCCACCGGAAUCUGUAGAGGCAGAAACCAGAUUUCAGUGUAAUGAAGCCCA
RNAcentral lists this microRNA precursor (59 nucleotides) under Chrysemys picta bellii (western painted turtle). RNAcentral describes it as "Cpi-Mir-205-P2_pre stem-loop". It matches the Rfam family "mir-205 microRNA precursor family", at positions 10 to 68 of the family's 75-position model. Lineage: Eukaryota; Metazoa; Chordata; Testudines; Emydidae. The record is from RNAcentral.